AAAUGCAAGCAGGCAUCCCUAACAGGUGGUUUCAGCUUAAUUUUCCAGCUGAAAAUGCAAAGAUUCAUCCUUCUGCAAAACAGGUGUUUUGGAUGACUCACUGUUGUCCUACCCAGCUGGAGAUGAGAAGGUAUCCCAAAACCCAGAGCAUGUGCACCAGCUGGCUUGGGAGCAACAGCUGUGCUCCACUAAGAGCUUCUCUUCCCCUCUGCUCGUGGGUCUGUUCCUGAGCAGAGCCAGGCUGUGCCCAGAGCUCUUAGUGUGGGCUGGAGACAGGAGGAAGAAAUAAUAUUUGCAGCCAGCUCAUGGUAUGGACAUUCUGGAAGGGGAUGAAGGAAGCAACAAGAAGCACUAAUAGUGCAGCUGGCUGAGAGCAUGUAGGAAUGGCAGCGCUAGCGGUGGAAGGGAAACCCAGAUCUCCCAAGUACCAGACCAGCAGCUCCUUCAAGGUGCACCCUUCUGCACAGUAUUUGCUCUGGUUGCUGUUUGAUGCUCAGCUCUUCUGUCCCUGAAGUAGAGCCCGUGCUGGGGCGAAUGCUGGUUGCAGCUGAUGGAGAAAGCCACAGUGUUCUGGAGAUAUCUUCUAAUGAAGCAGAUGCACAGAAGGGGCCUGGAGUCAAUCACUGUCUUUGUUGCUCUCUUCCUGGCACCUUCUAAAGAGCUCAGAUAAAAAGCCAGGCUUCCUGCCCUCACCACCCAGCAUGAGAACCUGCUCUCCUGCUCGGAAGAAGGGUGCUGCACUCAAAGCCUCUCUUCAGCUUCCUUGCCUCUCCAUGGGGACUCUGCAUGAGAGGGGAAUGCAAACAAACCCAAACCUGAGGUCUUUAAACCAAAAUUGUGUGCAAGGAUCUAAACACGUGAGGAUUCCUGUUGCAAAAUUGAGGAUUUCUGUUACGUUCCUUUGUGAAUCCUAAUACGCCUGGAAAUUAUGAAUCAUAACAAGUCAUGCUGCCAAGUACAAGAAGGAUUAUAUGAUCUGUGAUCCAGUAACUCCCAGCUGCUUAGUCAUCUGUGCAGCUGGGAUCUCUCACCAAGGGUUGAGGUGUGCUUGCUUCCUGGGCGGAGAUGGAGAGUGGGGCAGAUGCUGCCAGCCGUCGGGGUGCGGCAUGAUGCACUUGUUCAGCCAAAGCUAGUGAUGGCCGUGACCUGAACAACCCCAGGCAGAGGAAGAAGAGCAAAACCAACAGCUCACAUGCCAGAGGCAGAAAUCCCACAGCAAUUCUCUCUGGGCAUUACUUUCUCAAUAUAUCGAUCCAGCCGGGUGGUCAGUAAGAGCAGGCGCUGUUGGCAGAGCCAGGAGCCCCCGUGGAGGAGCUUCCUCUGGCUUUCCACCCCAGAGAAGGUGCCCGGGUGUCCCACACACUCAGCAUCCUGGAGAAGACCUGGCAGAGCGGAUCUAUAAGCCACAUCCAUUUCGCACACCCACACACUUCCCAGUGUCUGGUCAAGGUGAUUUGAUGACUGUUGUUCCUGGACAUGGACUGGAAGAUAGAGACACCUCCAGCUGGCUGGAGCCUUCAGCAAUCCCAGGUUCCCUGCUUGCUCCUCAGCUCUCUGUUUCUCAAAGACUUGAGGAAGCUGCAAAGAUUCAGAGAUGUGUUUUUUUGUUUGUUUGUUCCCUUUCUUGAAAGCACAGCUAAAAAAAGAAGAAAAUUGAAACUGAGCCCAGCCCACAAUGCAGAGUGUGUAGGUGUGAUGCUAACCAACACCUGGGGCUGCGAAGCACCCUGGGGGAGCUGACACCUGAACCCUCUUGCACCAUCUGGCGGACGUUCUCUUUCUCUUCAUUCUUUCUUUGGCACCUUUUCAGAAAGUACACAAGAUGAUGACUCCGAAGUUGUUUUGUCUUGUUUGAAAAUGUCCUAUACAUUGUAGGAGAAGGGACCAAGGAGAGGACAGUGGUUUUCCUUUGUAAAUUCAUGUGGAGCCCGGCAAUUGACACACUAGGACCCAAGAGCUGCUGCUGUCCCUGGCUGAAGGUUUCUUGAGGUGGCUGGCAGAAAACAGCGAUGGCAGACAGGGCCUCGUGGUGGCAAUCAGGCUGUCUCUGAGUUUUUGGCCUUGGCAGGUGUAGAUGCUCAUGCCAUCAUCACAGCUGCUGUAGUGACCAGCUGCCAAAACAAGCAUCAGCUGCCCUCUCCUCAGCACCUCCCCAUCUCCAAAGCCGCUGGUAGGAUUGGGAACUGCUAGGAAAGGACAUACCCUGCAAGCAAGCCGAGUUGAAGACCAGCAAAGCUGGAAGGAGGGCUGAGAAAACCCAGCCAGCAUCUCUUCAAAUCCUGGUGCCCGCUUCGUCCCUGCUCAGCACACAGGAGCCGCAGGGAUUUGCGUGUAUAAUCCUUACAGGGGACCCUAGGCCACCAGGUCGGCUUCACAGAGCCUGCUGGGAAGUGCCUUGUCCCCAGCUAAGCUUCUUUCCCUGUUGGCAUGUCGUAGGAGGAGGAUGAGAUUAGUGUUUUCUGCUGCACGAUGUCAGCUGAGGGAUGAGAACGGCGCACUGAGAGGAGGAGAGCUGCUGUGGGUGAAGACCAUCCCUUUCAAACACGAAGCACAGCAAGUCCAAACCAGCACGUUUCCCCCCUCUCCUUGGGGAUCAUGCUGCAGUAGUGAGGAGACAAAUGGAGCCAGUCCGCUGUGCUAAACUACAAAACCACAGGUUUCAGCAAAGCCCUUCAAGCCUGUCCGCCCCCCAACAGUGUCGCUGCCCCUUGCUUUUGACUGAGGUCUGGAAAUACCAGCAGGGGCUGGCCACUGCCUGUAUCCCACGUGUUGCCACUGUCCUGCUGGGUGACAUCAGGCAAGGGCUGUCAGGGCUCAGCAUGGCAGAUGUGAUCUUCCAAGUCCAGCAUCCCCAUCCGAUCCAAGGACACCCAUGGCACCGUGGUGGGCUUGAUUCCACCGUGGCAUAACCUCCAGCGAUCCCAAAAGAUAAGCAGCCUCAGCCUGUCCUUCAAGAGCCUCUCUGAAGCCUCCCAAGAUGGUGCCUGCAUGGCUUUAACGCUGUCUGUUCAGCUCUUGCCGGAACAACUUCCUCGUCUUCAUCUGGAACCUGAGACAAAGGAAAGAACUGUUUGUAAUGAGCUAUUUAUGGAGAAAUUCGUCUUGAGAUUUGCAUCACCACUACAAGAAAAGUCGGCGCCACAACUUUCCUACUGUGGUUAAGGACAGCUCUCAGCGGUCGGGAGCCCCCAGGUCCUGUGAGCAGUAGGAACAUGUUUCAGCAUUGUUUUUUUGCAGGAGAAGAGACCAAUUUGCAUUGCUGGAAACGGAAUGAUGUGGAGAACCACAAGAACCCGUCAUUCUGGUCAGGCCCUUGGAUUUUGUCAGGAUUUUUUGAAUACUCCUUCGCAGCUAAAACUCCCACUGGGUUGUCUUGCUGCUAGCAAGGCUGAUUGGGAUUGUGAAGGGGCAGGUAGGCUGGCAAGCAGGCUUUCCCCAAAGCAUCAAACUAGAUUCAAUUAACCCACUUUAGCUGCAGGAACAUGGUUAGCUGGCAGCCAAGUCCCCACGGAGAGGUUAGAUAACACACAGCGGCUUAGUCACACUGGAGAAGUAAAUGUCUCACAACUUGCUGAGACAAAUUCCUCCCUGUUUUAAUUAAAUGUGAGCUCCCAGAGUGCCUAAAGCUCUACUGGUCUCUGGCUGCCCCUGCCCAUGCAUCAAUCCAGUUGUGCCAUUCAAGUCUCCAAAUCUUUGUCCUCACUUGCACCACAAGCGAGCUCUGUUUUCAUUCACCAUUGUUUCAGAGCCUGGUGGCUGGCUAGAGGGAUGAUAAUAAAAUAAGGAUUUUACUGCUUGGUACUCUGCAAUUAACCGGAAAAUACAGAUUUAUUUUUUUUUUCCUAGCCUUCUUGAAAGCAAAGCAAUGGAUGCUCAGGUCCCAGGACUUCACCAGUAGUCAGAGCUUUUCCUUGGCCCCAAGGAUGGAGCAGGGACCAUUUAGCAGGAGCUGCUAGCGUACUAGAUGCUGAAUGAAGGAGCCCCUGACGCUUAAGGCAGUGUCCUGCCUUUGGUUUUUGCCCAGAUGUAAAAUCAGAGGCACUGGUCUGAACCUGACUGCAGACAGCCGGCUGCCAGCUGCGGGCCAUGACGCCGGCCUUGCUGCGAGCCUGUGCCGCCUUCUGCCUACUUGAGAGCAGAGUGAAGGCAAAGAGGGCCAGGAACAAGAGGAGGGGACGAGGAGCUUUAAUAGAUGAUGUGAGUCCAGUCUACAAGCAGGAGGAGAGACAGCAGAGAGAUGGAGGGAUGCAGUUCUCGGCGUUUCUGUGCAGCAAGCUGCUCCUCACAAGCCAGAUUUUUAACUGAUGAUGCCUCCCCAUAGGCAGUGAGUGCUGGUUUAAAAUAAAGCUUGACAAAUGGCAUGUUGGGGGCGUCAGGUCCUAGAGCACUGUCUUCCGAAAACUAUGAAAAAGGCACCAGAGGGGAGCCUGGCACAGCCUCCAAGAUGACAGUAAUUAAAGGCUUUUGCGCUCAGGCACUGGGAGCUGCUCCUCUUGCAAAUUGGCAUUGAUUGGAGAGGAAGAGAAUGAUUAAAUUGGAGGAGAGUGAUGGGGGCGUCAGGAGAAAGCACAGAGGUUUGUCUUUUCUACGACUGGUGAGCAGGAAAAAUGUCCCCCCUGGGGUGCCCCAGCUGGGUCCUUGUUGCCAUCCCUGCAGACAGACCCCAGCUGGCUGGGGCCUCCAAGCCAAGGAGCUGAUCCAAAACCAAACUGAGAUCCCCUGGCUGCUGAGCCUGGAGCACUAAUGCUCAGGGUAUGCACCAGUGUGACUCGACAGAAGACGACAGAGGUUGGAAAAGGCCUGGAAGGGCUGGGAUGUCGUUGCCAUGGAAAUCGCUCAGUGUCUGGAGCAGCAAGAAUGAGAACAACUCCAAAAGUAAUGAUCUGUCACUUUGACGAAGAGGGAAUUGGAGGGAUUUGGUUAGGGGGAAGCUUCAUGCUUCAAAUAAUACGCGUCCAUAUGCCACAUCGUCCCCAAAAGGGCUCUGUCGACAGCCCUGGGAAAUAAUCUGAUGUGUUUUGGCCGAGGGUUUCCCCAGGGAGCACGGACACGGUUUCUGCACAGCAGCUGAGCUGCACGGCUCCACAAUCCCAGGAUGAAAGGCACCAACUCAAUGCAAUAUUCAUUCACUCGUUCUUCCUCCCUUCAUUCAUUUAUUCAUCCAUUCAUCUGGUUCAUUCACAUUUCCCCAGCACUUUAAUGAGCAGUGCUGAACCUCUGCAGUCCUGCAGAGCUGUCCCCUGGUGCGCUGCCGCUGUGCUGCAGACGGCCAUCUCAAAGCCCAGCGUUCGUCCAUUUACAGGGAAAAUCCUGGUGUGGCUGCAGCGGGGUCUGCAGGGUGUCCAGCUGUGCACUGGGGUCUUUAAAGCCCUCCAAAAUCCUGCUAGGCUUUGCUGUUCCUGUGAUUUCUCUUUGCUCUGAUUUACGUCUCAUUCAGCUCGCAUCUUCCAUGUGGCAGCCUGAGGAGAGGGAAAGAGCGAGCAUGGGGUGAUUUCUUUCUUUUCGGUGUGGUCUUUUAGGAAGUGGAGAAGGAUGCUUCAGGAGCAUCUUCCCUCCUCAGCCAUGUCUGAGCUCCCUGGGCAGCUGAGUUGGGAUAUAGUGACCACUGCAGAGGUCUCAGAUGGCCAUCAAGCCAGACUGAAGACCACAGUCCUAACCAGGACCUGGCUUUUUUCCAGAUUUAUUCUCCACACAGAGUCAACAGGGACUGGAGGCAGCUAUUGCAGGGCUGUCUAGGGCAGGUUUUUUCCCAACCAUAUGCAGACGUUUCUCUUGAAGAAAAUAAAACGGAUGGCGUCUGGGUAGAAAUCAGGAAAGAUUAAAAGGAGAAAACUAAUUUUCCUGCCUAUGAUCUCACUCGUGGAAAAUGAUGCUUUUUCUGUGUGCGCUGCUGAUCUGUCCUCUGCCUCUCUCCAAAGAGCUAAAUGCAUCUCUGAACCAAAGGAAGCAAAGAGAAAACAUCCGUUCUUUGUAUAAUGAAGAAAGCUUUUUCUUUUGUUCCCUGCCUUUUAUCAAGUAUCUGCUAUCUAACAUUAUUGUUACUCACAGGGUUAUUACCUCUAAGUGGCUACUUCCACCAGCAUGAGCUGCUUUAUUGUCUGCUCAGAGCAAUUACAGAUCGAGAUAAUUCCUGCCGCACUGUUUCAUUGCGGAAGGAUUUGCUGUGCUCCAUGGCCGAGGUAACUCGAGGUGACUUGUGCUGCUGAGUUAUCCAUCGCAUUAAUUAGUGGUGGGUGGCUGGUGCCCUGCUGGAUUCUGGGACAGAAGAUCAGCAGAGGCUAAACCUGGACAUCUUUCAGUGUGAGAGGUGCAAGUAUUAAAAGGAAAAUUUGUUUUUAGUAGA
Non-coding RNA from Anas platyrhynchos (mallard), 6343 nucleotides. NCBI's taxonomy places the organism in Eukaryota, Metazoa, Chordata, Aves, Anseriformes, Anatidae. The record is from RefSeq and is a predicted model, not a curated record.